UACGUAGGUGGCAAGCGUUGUCCGGAAUUAUUGGGCGUAAAGCGCGCGCAGGCGGUUCCUUAAGUCUGAUGUGAAAGCCCACGGCUCAACCGUGGAGGGCCAUUGGAAACCGGGGAACUUGAGUACAGAAGAGGAAAGUGGAAUUCCACGUGUAGCGGUGAAAUGCGUAGAGAUGUGGAGGAACACCAGUGGCGAAGGCGACUUUCUGGUCUGUAAUUGACGCUGAGGCUCGAAAGCGUGGGGAGCAAACAGG
RNAcentral lists this unclassified non-coding RNA (253 nucleotides) under uncultured Caryophanales bacterium. RNAcentral's name for it is "uncultured Bacillales bacterium contains 16S-23S intergenic spacer region". It matches the Rfam family "Bacterial small subunit ribosomal RNA", at positions 524 to 776 of the family's 1533-position model. Lineage: Bacteria; Bacillati; Bacillota; Bacilli; Caryophanales. The record is from RNAcentral.